AAGGUAGCAUAAACAUUUGUCUUUUAAAUGGAGACUUGUAUGAACGGCAAAACCUUUUCUAACUGUCUCUCCUAUCACCCGUUUAAACUUCUAUCAGCGUGAAGAAACGCUGAUAUAUCAGAAAGACGAGAAGACCCUGUCGAGCUUAAGUCUAAAAAGAGAAGGUAUAUGCUUAUAGCAGAAAGUUAAUAUCUUAUGAAGACUUUGGUUGGGGCAACCAUGGAGAACAACUUAACCUCCAGAGCGAACAGAAGAACUUCACCUCUCUGUUUUUAAACCUAGAGAACCAGAAACUGGAAAUCGGAAAAAGUUACCGCAGGGAUAACAGCGUUAUCUUCUCUGAGAGUCCUUAUUGACGAGAAGGCUUGCGACCUCGAUGUUGGAUUGGGGCCCCCUUAGGGUGCAGAAGCUCUAAAUGGUUGGACUGUUCGUCCAUUAAAGCCCU
Molecule: ribosomal RNA, 445 nt
Filed under: Holothuria forskali
Lineage: Eukaryota; Metazoa; Echinodermata; Holothuroidea; Aspidochirotida; Holothuriidae
Description: partial 16S ribosomal RNA
Rfam family: Bacterial large subunit ribosomal RNA
Source: RNAcentral